UACGUAGGGGGCAAGCGUUGUCCGGAUUUAUUGGGCGUAAAGCGCUCGUAGGCGGCUCGAUGCGUCGUGCGUGAAACACCCCGGCUCAACUGGGGAGGGUCGUGCGAUACGGUCGGGCUUGAGGCCAGUAGGGGGAUGCGGAAUUCCGGGUGUAGUGGUGGAAUGCGUAGAGAUCCGGAGGAACACCAGCGGCGAAGGCGGCAUCCUGGACUGGUACUGACGCUCAGCCACGAAAGCAUGGGGAGCGAACGGG
Molecule: ribosomal RNA, 253 nt
Filed under: uncultured bacterium
Lineage: Bacteria
Description: partial 16S ribosomal RNA
Rfam family: Bacterial small subunit ribosomal RNA
Source: RNAcentral